This 636-nucleotide small RNA is filed under the name Pleurotus eryngii var. eryngii. Its description in RNAcentral is "eukaryotic LSU rRNA". The stretch from base 243 to 396 matches the Rfam family "5.8S ribosomal RNA". Lineage: Eukaryota; Fungi; Basidiomycota; Agaricomycetes; Agaricales; Pleurotaceae. The record is from RNAcentral.
AAGGAUCAUUAAUGAAUUCACUAUGGGAUUGUUGCUGGCCUCUAGGGGCAUGUGCACGCUUCACUAGUCUUUCACCCCUGUGAACUUUUGAUAGAUCUGUGAAGUCGUCUCUCAAGUCGUUAGACUUGGUUUGCUGGGAUGUAAACGUCUCGGUGUGACUACGCAGUCUAUUUACUUAUAACACCCCAAAUGUAUGUCUACGAAUGUCAUUUAAAGGGCCUUGUGCCUAUAAACCAUAAUACAACUUUCAACAACGGAUCUCUUGGCUCUCGCAUCGAUGAAGAACGCAGCGAAAUGCGAUAAGUAAUGUGAAUUGCAGAAUUCAGUGAAUCAUCGAAUCUUUGAACGCACCUUGCGCCCCUUGGUAUUCCGAGGGGCAUGCCUGUUUGAGUGUCAUUAAAUUCUCAAACUCACUCUGGUUUUUCCAAUUGUGAUGUUUGGAUUGUUGGGGGCUGCUGGCCUUGACAGGUCGGCUCCUCUUAAAUGCAUUAGCAGGACUUCUCAUUGCCUCUGCGCAUGAUGUGAUAACUAUCACUCAUCAAUAGCACGCAUGAAUAGAGUCUGGCUCUCUAACCGUCCGCAAGGACAAUUUGACAAUUUGACCUCAAAUCAGGUAGGACUACCCGCUGAACUUAA